RNAcentral lists this ribosomal RNA (1947 nucleotides) under human gut metagenome. RNAcentral describes it as "bacterial LSU rRNA". It matches the Rfam family "Bacterial large subunit ribosomal RNA", at positions 1 to 1977 of the family's 2925-position model. The record is from RNAcentral.
UUAAGCGACUAAGCGUACACGGUGGAUGCCCUGGCAGUCAGAGGCGAUGAAGGACGUGCUAAUCUGCGAAAAGCGUCGGUAAGGUGAUAUGAACCGUUAUAACCGGCGAUGUCCGAAUGGGGAAACCCAGUGCAAUUCGUUGCACUAUCGUUAACUGAAUACAUAGGUUAACGAGGCGAACCGGGGGAACUGAAACAUCUAAGUACCCCGAGGAAAAGAAAUCAACCGAGAUUCCCCCAGUAGCGGCGAGCGAACGGGGAGCAGCCCAGAGUCUGAAUCAGCUUGUGUGUUAGUGGAACGGUCUGGAAAGUCCGACGGUACAGGGUGAUAGUCCCGUACACCAAAAUGCACAGGCUGUGAACUCGAAGAGUAGGGCGGGACACGUGGUAUCCUGUCUGAAUAUGGGGGGACCAUCCUCCAAGGCUAAAUACUCCUGACUGACCGAUAGUGAACCAGUACCGUGAGGGAAAGGCGAAAAGAACCCCGGCGAGGGGAGUGAAAAAGAACCUGAAACCGUGUACGUACAAGCAGUGGGAGCACCUUCGGGUGUGACUGCGUACCUUUUGUAUAAUGGGUCAGCGACUUAUAUUCUGUAGCAAGGUUAACCGUAUAGGGGAGCCGCAGGGAAACCGAGUCUUAACUGGGCGUUAAGUUGCAGGGUAUAGACCCGAAACCCGGUGAUCUAGCCAUGGGCAGGUUGAAGGUUGGGUAACACUAACUGGAGGACCGAACCGACUAAUGUUGAAAAAUUAGCGGAUGACUUGUGGCUGGGGGUGAAAGGCCAAUCAAACCGGGAGAUAGCUGGUUCUCCCCGAAAGCUAUUUAGGUAGCGCCUCGUGAAUUCAUCUUCGGGGGUAGAGCACUGUUUCGGCUAGGGGGUCAUCCCGACUUACCAACCCGAUGCAAACUACGAAUACCGAAGAAUGUUAUCACGGGAGACACACGGCGGGUGCUAACGUCCGUCGUGAAGAGGGAAACAACCCAGACCGCCAGCUAAGGUCCCAAAGUCAUGGUUAAGUGGGAAACGAUGUGGGAAGGCACAGACAGCCAGGAUGUUGGCUUAGAAGCAGCCAUCAUUUAAAGAAAGCGUAAUAGCUCACUGGUCGAGUCGGCCUGCGCGGAAGAUGUAACGGGGCUAAACCAUGCACCGAAGCUGCGGCAGCGACACUAUGUGUUGUUGGGUAGGGGAGCGUUCUGUAAGCCUGCGAAGGUGACCUGUGAGGGUUGCUGGAGGUAUCAGAAGUGCGAAUGCUGACAUAAGUAACGAUAAAGCGGGUGAAAAGCCCGCUCGCCGGAAGACCAAGGGUUCCUGUCCAACGUUAAUCGGGGCAGGGUGAGUCGACCCCUAAGGCGAGGCCGAAAGGCGUAGUCGAUGGGAAACAGGUUAAUAUUCCUGUACUUGGUGUUACUGCGAAGGGGGGACGGAGAAGGCUAUGUUAGCCGGGCGACGGUUGUCCCGGUUUAAGCAUGUAGGCUGAUUGUCCAGGCAAAUCCGGAUAAUCAAGGCUGAGGUGUGAUGACGAGGCACUACGGUGCUGAAGUAACAAAUGCCCUGCUUCCAGGAAAAGCCUCUAAGCAUCAGGUAACAUCAAAUCGUACCCCAAACCGACACAGGUGGUCAGGUAGAGAAUACCAAGGCGCUUGAGAGAACUCGGGUGAAGGAACUAGGCAAAAUGGUGCCGUAACUUCGGGAGAAGGCACGCUGGUGUGUAGGUGAAGUCCCUGCGGAUGGAGCUGAGACCAGUCGAAGAUACCAGCUGGCUGCAACUGUUUAUUAAAAACACAGCACUGUGCAAACACGAAAGUGGACGUAUACGGUGUGACGCCUGCCCGGUGCCGGAAGGUUAAUUGAUGGGGUUAUCCGUAAGGAGAAGCUCUUGAUCGAAGCCCCGGUAAACGGCGGCCGUAACUAUAACGGUCCUAAGGUAGCGAAAUUCCUUGUCGGGU